Molecule: ribosomal RNA, 492 nt
Filed under: uncultured bacterium
Lineage: Bacteria
Description: partial 16S ribosomal RNA
Rfam family: Bacterial small subunit ribosomal RNA
Source: RNAcentral
AGUGAACGCUGGCGGUAGGCCUAACACAUGCAAGUCGAACGGCAGCACAGUAAGAGCUUGCUCUUACGGGUGGCGAGUGGCGGACGGGUGAGUAAUACAUCGGAAUCUACUUUUUCGUGGGGGAUAACGUAGGGAAACUUACGCUAAUACCGCAUACGGCCUACGGGUGAAAGCAGGGGAUCUUCGGACCUUGCGCGAUUGAAUGAGCCGAUGUCGGAUUAGCUAGUUGGCGGGGUAAAGGCCCACCAAGGCGACGAUCCGUAGCUGGUCUGAGAGGAUGAUCAGCCACACUGGAACUGAGACACGGUCCAGACUCCUACGGGAGGCAGCAGUGGGGAAUAUUGGACAAUGGGCGCAAGCCUGAUCCAGCCAUACCGCGUGGGUGAAGAAGGCCUUCGGGUUGUAAAGCCCUUUUGUUGGGAAAGAAAAGCAGCAGGUUAAUACCCCGCUGUUCUGACGGUACCCAAAGAAUAAGCACCGGCUAACUUCGUG